UCGGGAAUUUUGGGCAAUGGGCGAAAGCCUGACCCAGCAACGCCGCGUGAAGGAUGAAAUCCCUCGGGAUGUAAACUUCGCAAGAACGGGAAGAAUAAGUAAGAGUUAAUAUCUCUUACGAUGACGGUACUGUUUGUAAGCUCCGGCUAACUCCGUGCCAGCAGCCGCGGUAAUACGGGGGGAGCAAGCGUUGUUCGGAUUUACUGGGCGUAAAGGGCGCGUAGGCGGCCACUGCAAGUCGACUGUGAAAUCUCCGGGCUUAACCCGGAAAGGUCAGCCGAUACUGCAGGGCUAGAGUGCAGAAGGGGCAACUGGAAUUCUCGGUGUAGCGGUGAAAUGCGUAGAUAUCGAGAGGAACACCUGCGGCGAAGGCGGGUUGCUGGGCUGACACUGACGCUGAGGCGCGAAAGCUAGGGGAGCGAACGGG
Molecule: ribosomal RNA, 427 nt
Filed under: uncultured bacterium
Lineage: Bacteria
Description: bacterial SSU rRNA
Rfam family: Bacterial small subunit ribosomal RNA
Source: RNAcentral